CAGCAGUGAUUUCUCUUGUGCUUGUUUGGCAGAAUAUAAAAUAAAGAGAAGGUUGGUAUGGCCUCUGCAUAAGGAUGACCCACAAAUUUUUAAAUGUUCCAUAUUUUCUU
This is a small nuclear RNA of Heteronotia binoei (common prickly gecko), 110 nucleotides long. NCBI's taxonomy places the organism in Eukaryota, Metazoa, Chordata, Lepidosauria, Squamata, Gekkonidae. The record is from RefSeq and is a predicted model, not a curated record.